RNAcentral lists this ribosomal RNA (253 nucleotides) under uncultured bacterium. Its description in RNAcentral is "partial 16S ribosomal RNA". It matches the Rfam family "Bacterial small subunit ribosomal RNA", at positions 524 to 776 of the family's 1533-position model. The record is from RNAcentral.
UACGGGGGGGGCAAGCGUUGUUCGGAAUUACUGGGCGUAAAGGGCUCGUAGGCGGCCAACUAAGUCAGACGUGAAAUCCCCGGGCUCAACCUGGGAACUGCGUCUGAUACUGGAUGGCUUGAAUCCGGGAGAGGGAUGCAGAAUUCCAGGUGUAGCGGUGAAAUGCGUAGAUAUCUGGAGGAACACCGGUGGCGAAGGCGGCAUCCUGGACCGAGAUUGACGCUGAGGCGCGAAAGCCAGGGGAGCAAACGGG